Molecule: ribosomal RNA, 199 nt
Filed under: uncultured bacterium
Lineage: Bacteria
Description: partial 16S ribosomal RNA
Rfam family: Bacterial small subunit ribosomal RNA
Source: RNAcentral
ACGCUCGACACCUACGGGAGGCAGCAGUGGGGAAUAUUGCACAAUGGGGGAAACCCUGAUGCAGCAACGCCGCGUGAAGGAAGACGGUUUUCGGAUUGUAAACUUCUGUUCUUAGUGAAGAUAGUGACGGUAGCUAAGGAGCAAGCCACGGCUAACUACGUGCCAAACAGCCGCGGUAAUCUGAGCGGGCUGGCAAGGC